CACUCACCCCGUGAGCCCGUGACGACUCCUCGCCCAGCGGCCUCCUCUUCCUCUCCCAGACACCACGACUCCUCGAUCUCUCCCCAACAUCGUGAGCCGUGACUCCUCCUCGAUCUCUCCCCCACUCAAGAUCACCAGGGCGACUCCUCGAUUUCUUCCUCAUGUCGCCCCUCCUACUUGAUGCUGGAGGAGCAAGCGCAGGGGAGCCGUUCAAACCAUGCGGACCGACGCUGGGCAAAGGCGAGGCCGCGGCAAAGGCGUCAUAGGGCGGGGACGUCGCAAGGCUGGUGAGGCCGCGCGGUGGGGGCGUGGGCUGCUGCCCGUCGGGCGAGGACGCACGCCGCCGGCCACCGCCACCCCUUUCCUGCCGCUGGAGGAGCAAGCGCAGGGGAGCUGUCAAGGCCGCCCGGAUAGCCGCCGGGCAAGGCGAGGCCGCGACAGAGGCGUCACAGCCUCACAAGAUGCGGACGCGGCAAGGCCGAUGAGGCGCGUCACAGCGAGGCGAAGCUGCGCGGCUGGGCGGGGCCACCACCGGGCGAGGACGCGUCGAUGCGGGAGGCUGCUGCGGCAAGGGCGACCAAGAGCAGCGAGCUCCCCAAGUCAGUCACAGCCAUCUCCAGGAAGGACGUCUUGACCAUCGCCAGGAGCGGCAAGCUGUCCAAGGUGGUGGCUAGCGCUGAGCUCUCCAUUGCCGCCGUGCACCCAUGAGGAUUGGAUGGUGUGCUACAGUCGUUAGAAGAUCGGUAGGCUCUUCUUCCACACAUGCCACUUCAUGCUCCAGAGCAGGCUGCUCGCCUACUACAAGCCCAAGGACAGCAUGGCCGGAGUUCAAGAUUUCCAAUUUGUUGGAAUCCAAUAGCAAAAGAAAGAGAAUUACUGUAAUUCUACAGGAUGAAGAUGGUCAAAUUCUUCUUUAUUGCAAAGGACUAGACAGGUGCACUCAAGUCGUUGUUGAUAGAUGGGAAUUGCAGGAUGGAGGAUAGGGGGCUCAAAAAUCAUCAUGGGCAAGUUAAUGGGUGGUGAUGAGGAAAAAUAUCUCAUAGUCAGAGCAGCCAUUAUGUGCUUAUCAUUUAGAUGAUCGAAUCUUGUGGAUUCAUUAUCUAUAAAAUUUAUGACCACAUUGAUAUUACUCUCUGAACUUUGAGUAACUGAAUACCUACGCCUUUUUGUGUUUGUCAUCAUUACUACAGAUUAUGGUUCAUAAGCUGGGAAUUGAUGAGAGCAAGAUCGAGAACCUGGGCAAUCUGUUGUACAUGUGCUAUGAGAUUUUGGCACCAUGUAGAUCAACCCUGCUGUAUGAUCUUCAUUUCAAGGCUUGUAAGUUGUCAAUAGCUUGUUUUGAUUUUGGUUGUGGAAGAAGGCUGAUGAUAUGUGCACACCAACCCUGCUGCCUCUUCCUUUAGCAGAUGUGAGUAAACGAAUCUCAUAGAGAGAUGAAGGCAUAUACAAAAUGACAAGUAUUAUUGCUUUUCUUUUGUUCAUGACACCAGGAUUAGUGAGUUAAUGUUUUCUCCUAUAAAACUUAUAUGCUUGUCAAAUAUCGAAUAUCAUCUACUCACUACAUACUGCUCCUUGGUUGUGUUUGGUUGCAGAGGAACUAGCCAUUAAGAAGGCUUUACUAAAGGUAGCAGCAGAAAUGUUAGUACAUUUCGUAGCACGAGAGAAUGAUCCUUCUAACUAAAAAUAUAUUUUCCUAUGGAUGAAUCUUUGUUUGAGAUUUUCUUAGCUCUAUACCGAUUUCAUGCAAAGAUAGCCAUAUUUGCAGCCUUUUACCUUUUAAAGCUACCACCAGAGCUGGCAUUUAGAAAAGAUAAUUAUAAACCUGUUAGAAUGUUAAGCGUGGAAUGGGUCAAUCUGACUUAAUGUUGUUUUUUUCAUUCUUUUUCUUUGGAGAUGCACACGCAUACAAUGAUAGUUUAAACCAUUCAUACAAUGAAUAAAGUCAACUAUCAAUGGAAUUAUCAUUGCUCUCUUUUUAUAAUUAAUUUUUAUUAACCAGAUAGUGGAUGGAUGCAUGCAGAUAUUAAAGAAUGACAUGUGCCACGAUAUUAAUUGCUUGGACCGUGGCCUGACAUGUGCCACGAUAUUAAAGAAUGCAGCACUGUUCUAUUGCCAUAUCAUCACGAUAGACUCUAUUUUGAUAGCUGUUACUUGAUUUUGGUUUGGAGGGCAGUGCUCCCAUGUAAUGCAUCUUCUAAACUGUGGAUGACAAUGUACAUCCUAGGACCUCUUGUAUGAUCCUUUUAUUUCGUCUCCUGACAUUCUUGAAUACCUUGAUAGCUGUGACUUGAUUUUUGGUUUGAAUGGCAAAUGCUCUUGUGUAACUACAUGUACUACAUCUUCUUGAUUGGAUGGCAAUUUACAUCUUAGAACCUCUUACUCAAAAGAACCUACUGGAAAUACUGAACUGAUAAUUAUACUGAUUGAUCAGGUUGGAACCAAAAGAGACAAGGCCACUUUGGAUGAUACAACCAACAGAAUCAACAAGCUACUAUACAAGAUUCGAUCCAUACAGAUGUGUGGCUCAUUGGCGUUAAACAUGUGUGGAGUUGCCUGUGGUAGACUUGAUUUGUGUUAUGAGAUGGGAUUUGGUGGCCUCUGAUUUAGGUCAUUCGAUGACGAAAUUAGUAGCUUCGUCAUGGUUGACAAGUGGCGGAGCUUUGGCACGAAGAACAGUGACGAAAAUGGAAACAACGUCAUUGAUCAUCAUAACUAAAUCGUCAGACUGUUGGCAAUAGUGGGUCCCAUGGGCAUGACGUGGCACCAUGGUGGCACCUGUUGGUCCCACGUUGUUGACGUGUCGUCAUGGUCCCACAAGUGGGUCCCUACCGACGGGUCCCACCAUCAUAACGUGACGCCGUGGUCCCACCCUGUUGACGUGGCGACAGGAUUCCACCAGUGGUCCCUGCCUCGCUGACGUGGUGGCGUGGUCCUGCUAGCGGGCCCCACGUCCGAUGUGGCCAUGCGAGGCUCAAUCUGCUGUGCGGAUGGUUUUUAUUUUAUUUGGCAAAAAAACACGCUCCAUGGGAGCUUGGACCCCACAACCUAUUGCUGCAAGAACAGAUUAUAGUGUUGUUUAUUCCCCUAAAAAUAUAAAUCUCAACCUUGUUUUAAAAAUGUUUCAUGCUAAGCAAUCAACGCUAUCGACGGUUCCAAGGCUAGCUGUAUCAGCAACUCAGCGAACAAAAACAUGAUCAACUCCCCCACGCUGACCAGGUACCCUGGGAGCUCGGCCUGAAGCUGCGCCAGAAUGUGAUGAAAUUAUUAUAGUGAGCUAAAUCUUGCAUGCUUCAGAUUAAUGGAUACAACCAUGGAUAUGACUCAGGUUCUACUAGAUGCUCAAUCUUGAGAUGCUAACCUUCGAACAGUAGCAGAAAGCAACCUCACACAGUUCCAGGAGCAGAAGCUUUAAGCUACGCUCAACUGUCUAUGUGACUCAGAUUUGAUGUACUACUUUCUCAACUUGGGUAGCAGCAACAAUAAGGUCUGAAGCUUUCUCUACAAGUACCUGCACAUGAUUUUGCUGUGAUCUUAGUGGCAAAUUGUUGUGAUCUUCACUGAACAGAAAUGACAGUGGUGUUGCUAGUGGUUGCCUGUGGCCCUAGUUUAGUAGUGUUAUUGUGAAUUUGGUUGAGUUGGGAGUCAAGUACUGAUGUCCCUAGUUAUCUUGCUACUGAUGUCAAGUUAGUUGUGAGUCAAGUACUGAUGUUAAGUGAGUUAUGCAAUAACUUAUGUUGCCACUUUGUGGAAUCUUUUAGUCAUUUCAAUGUUAUUAAAAAAAUGCAUGUUUCAUUCCUA
RNA transcript from Sorghum bicolor (sorghum), 3798 nucleotides. RefSeq lists it as uncharacterized. The transcript is spliced from 11 exons. Lineage: Eukaryota; Viridiplantae; Streptophyta; Magnoliopsida; Poales; Poaceae. The record is from RefSeq and is a predicted model, not a curated record.